GAAUGCUGACAUAAGUAACGAUAAAGCGGGUGAAAAGCCCGCUCGCCGGAAGACCAAGGGUUCCUGUCCAACGUUAAUCGGGGCAGGGUGAGUCGACCCCUAAGGCGAGGCCGAAAGGCGUAGUCGAUGGGAAACAGGUUAAUAUUCCUGUACUUGGUGUUACUGCGAAGGGGGGACGGAGAAGGCUAUGUUGGCCGGGCGACGGUUGUCCCGGUUUAAGCGUGUAGGCUGGUUUUCCAGGCAAAUCCGGAAAAUCAAGGCUGAGGCGUGAUGACGAGGCACUACGGUGCUGAAGCGACAAAUGCCCUGCUUCCAGGAAAAGCCUCUAAGCAUCAGGUAACAUCAAAUCGUACCCCAAACCGACACAGGUGGUCAGGUAGAGAAUACCAAGGCGCUUGAGAGAACUCGGGUGAAGGAACUAGGCAAAAUGGUGCCGUAACUUCGGGAGAAGGCACGCUGAUAUGUAGGUGAAGCGACUUGCUCGUGGAGCUGAAAUCAGUCGAAGAUACCAGCUGGCUGCAACUGUUUAUUAAAAACACAGCACUGUGCAAACACGAAAGUGGACGUAUACGGUGUGACGCCUGCCCGGUGCCGGAAGGUUAAUUGAUGGGGUUAGCGGUAACGCGAAGCUCUUGAUCGAAGCCCCGGUAAACGGCGGCCGUAACUAUAACGGUCCUAAGGUAGCGAAAUUCCUUGUCGGGUAAGUUCCGACCUGCACGAAUGGCGUAAUGAUGGCCAGGCUGUCUCCACCCGAGACUCAGUGAAAUUGAACUCGCUGUGAAGAUGCAGUGUACCCGCGGCAAGACGGAAAGACCCCGUGAACCUUUACUAUAGCUUGACACUGAACAUUGAGCCUUGAUGUGUAGGAUAGGUGGGAGGCUUUGAAGUGUGGACGCCAGUCUGCAUGGAGCCGACCUUGAAAUACCACCCUUUAAUGUUUGAUGUUCUAACGUGGGCCCCUUACCGGGGUUGCGGACAGUGUCUGGUGGGUAGUUUGACUGGGGCGGUCUCCUCCUAAAGAGUAACGGAGGAGCACGAAGGUUGGCUAAUCCUGGUCGGACAUCAGGAGGUUAGUGCAAUGGCAUAAGCCAGCUUGACUGCGAGCGUGACGGCGCGAGCAGGUGCGAAAGCAGGUCAUAGUGAUCCGGUGGUUCUGAAUGGAAGGGCCAUCGCUCAACGGAUAAAAGGUACUCCGGGGAUAACAGGCUGAUACCGCCCAAGAGUUCAUAUCGACGGCGGUGUUUGGCACCUCGAUGUCGGCUCAUCACAUCCUGGGGCUGAAGUAGGUCCCAAGGGUAUGGCUGUUCGCCAUUUAAAGUGGUACGCGAGCUGGGUUUAGAACGUCGUGAGACAGUUCGGUCCCUAUCUGCCGUGGGCGCUGGAGAACUGAGGGGGGCUGCUCCUAGUACGAGAGGACCGGAGUGGACGCAUCACUGGUGUU
RNAcentral lists this ribosomal RNA (1441 nucleotides) under Escherichia coli. RNAcentral's name for it is "partial 23S ribosomal RNA". It matches the Rfam family "Bacterial large subunit ribosomal RNA", at positions 1292 to 2716 of the family's 2925-position model. Lineage: Bacteria; Pseudomonadati; Pseudomonadota; Gammaproteobacteria; Enterobacterales; Enterobacteriaceae. The record is from RNAcentral.